CAAACAGAGGCUUCCCUCCACCAAGAUUUGAAAGUAUCUUGUCUCCCGAUUGGUCCUUUGGUCAGGUGUCAGCCAAGUUCACUGAGGCCACGUCCAGACUAGGAAUUAAAAUCGAUUUUAGAUACGCAACUUCAGCUACGGGAAUAACGUAGCUGAAGUCGAAUUUCUAAAAUCGAGGUACUCACCCGUCUGGACGGCGCGGCAUCGAUGUCCGCGGCUCUCCGUGUCGAUUCCGGAACUCCGUUCGGGUUGAUGGAGUUCCGGAAUCGAUGUAAGCGCGCUCGGGGAUCGAUACAUCGCGUCCAGACUAGAUGCGAUAUAUCGAUCCCCGAGCAAUCGAUUUUAACCCGCCGAUGCCGCGGGUUAGUCUGGACGAGGGCUGAGCUUCUUAAUCCUUUACAGGUAAAAGAGACAUUAACCCUUAACCAUCUGUUUAAGACAUAGUUGGUUUCCUGACAACCUGGUGAGCUGCAGAGGACUCCAUGAGCUGUGUCUCCAAGGCAUCCACCUCAGAAUCAAGGCUUCAUAACCUUUUGCAGAGAAUUCUGAUUUGGGGGUGGAGUGGUAUUGUAAGUGGGAAUGAAACCAGCUUUGGAAAUAUGGAAAUCCUCUACAAAACUGAAUUACUUUUCUCCAUCCAGGUUUACUUAAUAAACAGUAAGUGGAACUAACCACUCCAGCUCCAGUGUCUACACGGAGAAAAAUGCAAAAAUAAGCCAACAGUAAAUAGUGAAGGACUGAGUACAUUUUAAAAAAUUCUUUCCAUUUGAAUUAUCUAAACAUGUUCUCUUUAUCACAAAAAUUAAAAAACAAAAACAAACAACCUGCUAUAUUAACAGUGUCUCUAGCCAUCUCAUCAACUGCAACUGUCUAUUUGGAACCUCAUCCUGCAAUGACCUAUGGGAAGGGUCUGUCCAUGCCAACUUUCAACAGAUCUUUGCAUAUGUCCACACACAUGCAUCUCACUGCAGUACCAGGCCUUGAAGACUGGUAAAUAAAACAAUCUGUUCCUUAAAAUAAAUAAAUAAAUAAAACAAACAACAGCACAUGCUUUUGUGCAGUCAAUGAGGAAGAGGCAAGAUACACUAUGACAGACACCUGUAAAAAGCUUCUUCAAACAUAAACAUGAAAUAACCUUCUUUUAGCAACUGAGCUGAGAGAGAAAACCAAAACAAGCAAAUUAUAUGGGAAUGCUGUGCUGCUAUUGGGUGAUGUGACUCUACUACUAGCACUAUUUUUAUUUCAAUCAAUACUAGAUUCACAUGUUCAUCAACAUGAUAAAAAAAAAUCUGCUUAGUACUUCCAGCCCCUAAAGUUUAAAUGUCAUAUUAAUCACUCCUCUUCUCCCCACCCCUCAAAUAACGGAUGAGUUUAGAAUUUAUGAAAUUUUAAAACAGUGAAGUGUUCCUUCAGUCCUUCAUGAUUUUUGACACUUAGGGGUAAUCUGCCGCACCCUAGCAUUUUUGUAUGACCAUUUCAGGCUGAAAAUUCCACUUUACCUGCAUGCAAAAUGCAUGCACAAAAAUACACCCUCGUUAUAACGAAGCCCAAGGGAUCCAAGCCAUUUACUAUAUUUAAAUUAGUAAUGGGCAUUGGAGGUCAAAUACAGACUCAUCCAAAGGCAAUUUCAGCUUCCGCUCAGUAGCAUAUUAGUUAACCAGCCGGGCGACUUGCAUCAUGUAAAAAGUUCGUUUAACCCGGGGUCAGGAGACACUACCAGGUACAGGCAGGCUGACGAGUCAGAGGCAGGUUUCGGAAAUUCACGUGCUUGUUAAAAAUGUUACGCACGAUCAUCAGCGGGUACAAGAACAUCUUUAACUGUAAGACGGGCCAGCGCGCCUCUGUUUUCGAGGCGGAGCCUCCCCAGGAAAUACAGAGCAGCAAGUUGCUAAUCGGAGCCCUGGAGCACACGCCGCCCGGGCAAACUCGCUAGACGGACAACAGAGGCGCUGCUCCCCGCUGGCAGGAGGAUUGCAGCUGCAGCGGCGGCAGCUCCCCCCCGCCCU
This is a long non-coding RNA of Gopherus flavomarginatus (Mexican gopher tortoise), 2006 nucleotides long. RefSeq lists it as uncharacterized. The record is from RefSeq and is a predicted model, not a curated record. NCBI's taxonomy places the organism in Eukaryota, Metazoa, Chordata, Testudines, Testudinidae. The transcript has 3 exons.